AGGAUGAACGCUGGCGGCGUGCCUAAUACAUGCAAGUCGAGCGAACGGACGAGAAGCUUGCUUCUCCGAUGUUAGCGGCGGACGGGUGAGUAACACGUGGAUAACCUACCUAUAAGACUGGGAUAACUUCGGGAAACCGGAGCUAAUACCGGAUAAUAUUUUGAACCGCAUGGUUCAAAAGUGAAAGACGGUCUUGCUGUCACUUAUAGAUGGAUCCGCGCUGCAUUAGCUAGUUGGUAAGGUAACGGCUUACCAAGGCAACGAUGCAUAGCCGACCUGAGAGGGUGAUCGGCCACACUGGAACUGAGACACGGUCCAGACUCCUACGGGAGGCAGCAGUAGGGAAUCUUCCGCAAUGGGCGAAAGCCUGACGGAGCAACGCCGCGUGAGUGAUGAGGGUCUUCGGAUCGUAAAACUCUGUUAUUAGGGAAGAACAUAUGUGUAAGUAACUGUGCACAUCUUGACGGUACCUAAUCAGAAAGCCACGGCUAACUACGUGCCAGCAGCCGCGGUAAUACGUAGGUGGCAAGCGUUAUCCGGAAUUAUUGGGCGUAAAGCGCGCGUAGGCGGUUUUUUAAGUCUGAUGUGAAAGCCCACGGCUCAACCGUGGAGGGUCAUUGGAAACUGGAAAACUUGAGUGCAGAAGAGGAAGGUGGAAUUCCAUGUGUAGCGGUGAAAUGCGCAGAGAUAUGGAGGAACACCAGUGGCGAAGGCGACUUUCUGGUCUGUAACUGACGCUGAUGUGCGAAAGCGUGGGGAUCAAACAGGAUUAGAUACCCUGGUAGUCCACGCCGUAAACGAUGAGUGCUAAGUGUUAGGGGGUUUCCGCCCCUUAGUGCUGCAGCUAACGCAUUAAGCACUCCGCCUGGGGAGUACGACCGCAAGGUUGAAACUCAAAGGAAUUGACGGGGACCCGCACAAGCGGUGGAGCAUGUGGUUUAAUUCGAAGCAACGCGAAGAACCUUACCAAAUCUUGACAUCCUUUGACAACUCUAGAGAUAGAGCCUUCCCCUUCGGGGGACAAGGUGACAGGUGGUGCAUGGUUGUCGUCAGCUCGUGUCGUGAGAUGUUGGGUUAAGUCCCGCAACGAGCGCAACCCUUAAGCUUAGUUGCCAUCAUUAAGUUGGGCACUCUAAGUUGACUGCCGGUGACAAACCGGAGGAAGGUGGGGAUGACGUCAAAUCAUCAUGCCCCUUAUGAUUUGGGCUACACACGUGCUACAAUGGACAAUACAAAGGGCAGCGAAACCGCGAGGUCAAGCAAAUCCCAUAAAGUUGUUCUCAGUUCGGAUUGUAGUCUGCAACUCGACUACAUGAAGCUGGAAUCGCUAGUAAUCGUAGAUCAGCAUGCUACGGUGAAUACGUUCCCGGGUCUUGUACACACCG
Molecule: ribosomal RNA, 1385 nt
Filed under: uncultured microorganism
Description: bacterial SSU rRNA
Rfam family: Bacterial small subunit ribosomal RNA
Source: RNAcentral